Molecule: ribosomal RNA, 301 nt
Filed under: uncultured bacterium
Lineage: Bacteria
Description: partial 16S ribosomal RNA
Rfam family: Bacterial small subunit ribosomal RNA
Source: RNAcentral
CAGCCGCCACGGUAACACGUAGGUGGCAAGCGUUGUCCGGAAUUAUUGGGCGUAAAGGGCUCGCAGGCGGUUUCUUAAGUCUGAUGUGAAAGCCCCCGGCUCAACCGGGGAGGGUCAUUGGAAACUGGAAAACUUGAGUGCAGAAGAGGAGAGUGGAAUUCCACGUGUAGCGGUGAAAUGCGUAGAGAUGUGGAGGAACACCAGUGGCGAAGGCGACUCUCUGGUCUGUAACUGACGCUGAGGAGCGAAAGCGUGGGGAGCGAACAGGAUUAGAUACCCCCGUAGUCCCUGUCUCUUAUAC